UUUUAAAUUUUUUUCCCGCGUGGCGAAGAAUGUCGAGAAGCAAGGAAGAAAUUCUGUAAAAUGGAGGACAAUUUUUGUCAAACCUACCUUUAUUGGAAGGUAAUAUGCUUUAUUUAAUAUCAAUCCUUGUAGUAAAGUACUUAGAUUGCCAAUAUAGAUGAAAAUUUAGGACAACGAACCCGAAUUUAAUGCGAUAUUUCGACAUAAAGUUUCUGCUUUUGCUUGCACGUGGUUCGCUUUUUGGGCGAUUGUCGAACUUUAAACCGUGUUUUAAUUCAUAAUUAUUGUCGACCAAGUGAGUUAAAAGACUAACUAAGAUCUAGAAUUGUUUAAGUUGUCGAAAAUCUCUGUCGAAUCUCUGAGUUCUUGCCGAAAAUUUUUGUAUUAUUAAUGCCGUAUACAGAGACGAGGCGCUUGGUGGGAUGAAUAUUUCAUCAGUUUGUAUAUUUCAAUCUUGCGAAAAAAUGGUGUUUUUGUUAAUUUAUAUGCAGAAAAAGCUUUGCAUCAGCAACAUUACAACGAAACAAAGUUAAUUACAAAUAGAACUAACUGAAAAUUGCUACAAUAUAAAGGCAAAAUCUAGAAAUUAUUGUGUUUCUUUACAUCGCACUGCAAGAUGGUGUAAAUUUUGAUUGGUUGGAUAACUUUCUCGGUAAGGCCACAUAAAAGAAAUUACUUGUUUAGCGUCCACCCAUUUUAAUUUUUCUAGGUCGGGCGGGCGGGGGAUUUUUGUUGUUUUUUUGUUGUUGUUUUUUCGUAAAAUGCAACACAAAAUUCUGCUAAAUGCAGGAAAUCCAGUAUAUUACCACAGUCAAAACUCACUUUAAUUCUUUCAAAAUCCGUUCAUGUUUUUUAAUACAGUUCAUGUUUUUAAUAAAACAGAAAAUUGGCAGUCACGCGCGAACACUUUAGCUGCGAACAGGGAUAUUCUGGGAAGGAAACUUUGUGUAAACGUAUUACAUAGCUCCCAGAAGAAUAAUCACCAUUUUUUCAAGUAAAACAGUCUUUUUUUAUAGAGAGUUUUUGCACUAAACUCGGAUGGAUUUAAAAAAAAUUUUUUAAAAAAUUGGAGGUCGGGGACUUUUAUCAGGUCGGGCGGGACGCUAAACAAGUAAUUUUUUUAUGUGGCCUAAGGCAUGUACUAAAAGGCGAAAACGUCGAAACAAAACGGCCAAAACCUUCAAAACGAAAAGGCCGAAAUUAAAUGGUCGAAACCACUGAAAAUAUACCCUGCUUCCAGAGGUGAAAGAAACAAGAGGCGAGAAGGAAGAGCCUCUUGUCACAUCGGUUGCAAAUCCCACUUCCACACUUGAUUAGGUUCAGAAUUUGAAUCUCGCAUUGCCAUUUGUAAAAAUAUGUCAAACUGGUUUGGGAAAUAAACAUACAUUACUGUAAGCUAAUUAUAUGGUAUCUAUUAUAGCUAUAAUUAGCUUACAGUAAUGUUUAUUUCCCAAACCAGUUUGACAUAUUUUUACAAAUGGCAAUGCGAGAUUCAAAUUCUGAACCUAAUUAAGUGUGGAAGUAGGAUUUGCAACCAAUGUGAACUCUCGUUUCUUUCACCUCGCAAAGAGCCUCUGUAACCAAGGUACUGAAAAUAUAAAUUACAGAAACAAUUCCAAAAAAUAUGUUCAUAUAUUGAGUUUUUCAUCUCACUAGCCAAGCUAUUCACACCCUCAGUAAAACUCUCAUUUAUUUUUGUAGAUGUACAGUGCAAGUUCCAAGAAUGUUGCAAGACCUCAUGGUUAUGAAAAAUGGACACAUUCCUAGAUCCUGAAUAAGAGGUAAAUGAUUUUUUUCUAAUUAUUUCUAACCUUGUAUUUCUUGGACAAUUGUCUUUGUAAUAUAUUAAUUUGUAUCAUGUUCUCAAUAGUGAUUCUUUUAAAUUUUCUAGAUGUGUGUUGCAAUUUCAAAGAAUGUCUCAAGUUGUUGGCUGAAGUGUUUUUGAUCACAAUAAUGAACACUGUCAUUGGAAAGUAUAUAAAAGGUCUUACAGGGUAAUAUUUAUAUCUUAACAUGAAAUGUUUUGAACAUUAUAUGAUUGCCUGUGAUCCAGUGGCGUAAUGGAACUUUUAAAAAGUGUGGCUGUAUUUUUUCCCAAAAAAGUUGGCAAGCAGGGGGGGAAUUUUCGAACCAUAUUCCUUAAAAACAAGGUGUUAAAAAAAUUGAACUAAAAAUUGAAAAACUAUGACAAGC
Molecule: non-coding RNA, 2193 nt
Organism: Paramuricea clavata
Lineage: Eukaryota; Metazoa; Cnidaria; Anthozoa; Malacalcyonacea; Plexauridae
Source: the annotation of a GenBank genome assembly